CAACCAGAUUCCUCCCCUAAAGAAGCCCCUGGGAGCACAGCUCAUCACCAUGGACUGGACCUGGAGGUUCCUCUUUGUGGUGGCAGCAGCUACAGGUGUCCAGUCCCAGGUCCAGCUGGUGCAGUCCGGGGCUGAGGUGAAGAAGCCUGGGUCCUCAGUGAAGGUCUCCUGCAAGCUUUCUGGAGGCACCUUCAGCAGCUAUGCUAUCAGCUGGGUGCGACAGGCCCCUGGACAAGGGCUUGAGUGGAUGGGAGGGUUCAUCCCUAUCCUUGGUACAGCAAACUACGCACAGAAGUUCCAGGGCAGAGUCACGAUUACCGCGGACGAAUCCACGAGCACAGCCUACAUGGAGCUGAGCAGCCUGAGAUCUGAGGACACGGCCGUGUAUUACUGUGCGACAGACACAGUGUGAAAACCCACAUCCUGAGAGUGUCAGAAACCCUGAGGGAGAAGGCAGC
Non-coding RNA from Gorilla gorilla gorilla (western lowland gorilla), 458 nucleotides. Lineage: Eukaryota; Metazoa; Chordata; Mammalia; Primates; Hominidae. The record is from the annotation of a RefSeq genome assembly.